RNAcentral lists this small RNA (643 nucleotides) under Pan troglodytes (chimpanzee). Its description in RNAcentral is "retained intron". The record is from RNAcentral. Lineage: Eukaryota; Metazoa; Chordata; Mammalia; Primates; Hominidae.
GAGCAAGGCCAGUGAUCAUAUAUUUGAAUGCCUGUUGUCUUGUCAUUCUUAAUUAUUAAUAGUGUCUUCUUUACUCUAAAUGUCCCAGUUUGGAUAAUAGAUUAUAUGAUCACUCUAUGUACAAUGCAUAUUCUUUGGCAUCUGUGUUUCUACUAUUCCCCAAUUCCCAAAUUGAUUGAUGUCCAGGAAUAAUUUGGAUGUUUGCAUUUGCUGUUAGGUUAAAUACCGAGAAAAUUUCGAUAAAGAAAAGGGCAAGACACCAAAAUACAAUCCAAAAGACAGCCAGCUCUACAAAGUCAUGAAAGAUGCUAAUAAUCUUGCAAGUGAGGUUAAAUACAAGGCUGACCUGAAGAAACUUCACAAACCCGUGACUGACAUGAAGGAGUCUCUGAUCAUGAAUCAUGUCCUGAAUACAAGCCAACUUGCCAGUUCUUACCAGUACAAGAAGAAGUAUGAGAAGAGUAAAGGCCACUACCACACCAUACCCGAUAAUCUGGAGCAGCUUCACCUAAAAGAGGCCACAGAAUUACAGAGUAUAGUGAAAUACAAAGAAAAGUAUGAAAAGGAACGAGGAAAACCCAUGCUGGACUUUGAAACACCAACGUACAUCACUGCCAAAGAGUCUCAGCAGAUGCAGAGUGGG